GUGUGUGUCAAUCUGUCCUAACAAAAACAGCCCAAAAACUGGAGACACUCCAGAGUCUCUGGAAAAACUACACAAGAAACUGAUUGACCCCUGUGUGGGUAACACAUUCCUGCCUUUUUCUGUCACUUUUUGAGAUAUUUAAAAGAUCUGAAAAGAAGACGGACAUUGUGCACCCAGAGUACAGAAGACUUACGUCUGAGCUGCCACAGCGGAAACAAUUGUCUUUAAUUAUUAUAAAAGCUUUUGAUUACUUCAUCCUCAGCUUAAGAACACAAUCAAUCAAUUUCAGACUUACAGGAACUCAGAGCUGUGUAAGGAAAAUACACCUUUUCAUCUGGAAGUUGAGUAGAACUCAAUUUACAAGGAAACAAGAAACAUUGAAGAUGUCUGCUCUUCGUUUUGACUAACCUAAAGGAACGGACGAUGAGGAAAAGAAAAUAUUCAAAUGCGAAACUCUGAUGGAAAAAACCCAGAGAUUCUCUAUGAAGACACAUAUCAAACUGGUAAAAGAUGCGACCUCAUUUUCUUCACCCACUCUGGAGCAGACUACAGGGCUGCAAUAGAAGAAGCUUACCUUAAAUCCAAGGAUAUUCAAAUGGACAACAAACUCAAACUUUAGCUCUCUGAUGGAGGCACUGUGUCCAUAUUUAUCAGUGGAAAGAUUUUGAUUCAAGGUACAGAAGAAAACCUUGAUGCAUUUGAGAAAAUGUUUAACAAAAUUCAACAAGAUGUAGACACAAGAAAAGAAGAACAGAUGAUGAAAACAUUACAGCAAAUGAAAGUUGAAGAAUCUGAUUCUGAAACAGAAGAAUGAGACAAACAGAAACAGUCUAAAUAAAAUGUGAUACAACAAGAAAAAAACAGGAAACAAUAUGGGCAUUUGAACUAUUAGAGUGUUUGAAGAAGUGGCUCUUCCUUCACUCAGGAGACCCAAACAAACAAAAGAGCACCACACCCACUUCAUCCUGAGCUUGAGAACACAAUCAAUCCAUUUUAGACUUACAGGAACUCAGAGUCUGAACCAACUAGUGCAGGAGCUGUGUAAGGAAAAUACACCUUUUCACCUGGAAGUUGAGUACAUCUCUAUUUACAACAGAACAAGAAACAUUGAAGAUGCCUGUUCGUCGUUUUUAUAGUGAACCUCUGGAAAACCCAGAGGUUCUCUAUGAAGACAGAAAACAAACUGGUAAAAGAUGCAACCUCAUUUUCUUCACCCACUCUCGAGCACACUACAGGGCUGCAAUAGAAGAAGCUUACCCUAAAUCCAAGGCUAUUCGAAUGGACAACAAACUCAAACUUGAGCUCUCUGAUGGAGGCACUGUGUCUAUAUUUGACAGUGGAAAGAUUGUGAUUCAAGGUAAAGAAGAAAUCCUUUAUGCAUUUGAGAACAGGUUUGACACAAUUAAACAAAACGUAAACAGGAGAAGAUAAGAACAGGUGUGGAAAACAUUGGAGCAAUUGAAAGUUAAAGAACCUGAUUCUGAAACAGAAGAUCAGGACAAACAGAAACAGUCUAAGUAAAAUCAAAUAAGCAGGGAAAGACAGAGCCUCAGUUUUCUGUUAUUGAAGUACAUUAGAUGGGGAGAAAUUAAUAUGGGUAUUUGAACUCUUAAUAAGUGAUUAUAAAAGGUUUUUUCUUGUGUUUAUAAAUUACUGGAUAUUUAUUCUGAUUUGCAAUACUUCUUUCUGUUAUUCAUUACAUACAUAUGCUUUAGACUGGUGUCAGGAAAAGAAAAUAUAUUAAGAUUACUGUAGCAGCAGCUGGUAAUAAAUCAGUCCUCAUCAAGGAACAGUGCUCUUUAAUGAAUGCAGCACGUAACUUCACAUCGUAGAGGUAACAGGGUGACACAUCAAGCUAUCAGUUAACCAUCUUAAACAUAUUCUAACUUUACAUUUUCCCGACUGCACUUUACUGUCUUAUUUUCUUAUUACUCUCUUAUUACUCUCAUAUUGCACCACCCUAUAGUGGUGCAAUAUGGUAUAAUCAUUACAGGACACAACAAUUGCAAACAUAAAAUUACAUUUAUGGUGUUUUGAUUCUAGCAGGACUGCAGCACACUUUCUUUCAGAACAUCAGUUUUUCACAGUUAUUGAGAUUUAGAGUCUUUAGCCACUCAAAUUAAGAUAAUGUCACACCACCAGCAUUCAACAGUCCUGCAAGAGGAAACAUUAUAUAGUCAUAUAUCUGUCUGUUUUGAAAAAUCUUCAUUUCUGUGUGUGUAACCAUGGAGAUAUAAGGUCCUCUGUACUGAAAGAAAUCAUUAAAAUUUGAUUAUUCAUGACUUUAA
Long non-coding RNA from Oreochromis niloticus (Nile tilapia), 2288 nucleotides. RefSeq lists it as uncharacterized. The record is from RefSeq and is a predicted model, not a curated record. NCBI's taxonomy places the organism in Eukaryota, Metazoa, Chordata, Actinopteri, Cichliformes, Cichlidae. The transcript is spliced from 4 exons.